This is a non-coding RNA of Hydra vulgaris (swiftwater hydra), 311 nucleotides long. The record is from RefSeq and is a predicted model, not a curated record. NCBI's taxonomy places the organism in Eukaryota, Metazoa, Cnidaria, Hydrozoa, Anthoathecata, Hydridae.
UGUUUUCCAAAGAUUAAAAAGUUGCUAUCGUCAGCAAGCAUUAUAGCUGAAAUCUUUUUUGAUGCCAUACAGAGAUUGUUUACAUAGAUUGAGAAAAUCAAAGACCAAAGUAUUGAGGUACACUCUUGAGAUACACCACACUCUAUUUAAAACAUAUUAGAGAGUUUAUAAAAGAGAGUUUAAAAAAUAUUUGGUUCAGGUCCUUGUAAAUAAUGGUGGUACGAAUGUAACAAAUUUUGUAAGAAGGAACAUGAAGUAUUUAUUUUCUUAUAAACUGGCACGAAAAUAUAACCUAACUGGCCAGAAAAAUA